Molecule: long non-coding RNA, 1823 nt
Organism: Oncorhynchus masou masou (cherry salmon)
Lineage: Eukaryota; Metazoa; Chordata; Actinopteri; Salmoniformes; Salmonidae
Exons: 2
Source: RefSeq, a predicted model, not a curated record
AAUAACAUAAUUACAAUCAUGAUUGUAUGCAGGUUGUAGAGAUCUCAUUUGUACACCCAUUAUUGUAAUCUGGCUGUUGAAUUUCAAACAGUUCUUUUUUUACCCACUGUGCAACUGCUUCCCAGGAGGUCAUGCCUAGGUUUUUCUAGGUUGACAAGCGCUGCCACCGUCCACAGGGGGCAUGGGAUAGUCAGGAGCAUAUCGAACAAGACGCACAGAUGGCUCCUAUGUGGCUCCUAUUCAGAUGUUGACAAAAAAUAUCCCCACUGGACCAAUGAGCAGAAGCUGAAAGGGGCGUUGGCAGACUACAAUAUGGGGCCUGGCAGCAUCUCCUCAUAUGAGGAGGUGGACACGAAAACCACUGGAGGGGACUAUUCAAAUCAAAUUAAUUUAUAGAGCCCUUCUUACAUCAGCUGAUAUCUUGAAGUGCUGUACAAAAACCCAGCCUAAAAUUCCAAACAGCAAGCAAUGCAGGUGUAGAAGCACGGUGGCUAGGAAAAACUCUCUAGAAAGGCCAGAACCUAAGAAGAAACCUAGGUCAGCACCUCAGGAGUAAAUGUCAGUUGGCUUUUCAUAGCCGCUCCUGCUGUCUCUAGACGAGAGAGAGAGAGAGAGAGAGAGAGAGAGAGAGAGAGAGAGAAAUUCACACAGUACAUAUAUAACAGACUGAACCUAGCCCCCUGACACAUAAACUAUAGCAGCAUAAAUACUGGAGGCUGAGACUGGAGGGGUCAGGGGACACUGUGGCCCCAUCCAACGAUAUAACCUCACCCACUUUGCCAUAGCACAGCCUCCACACCACUAGAGGGAUACCUUCAACCACCAACUUACCAUCCUGAGACAAGGCCGAGUAUAGCCCACAAAGAUCUACACCACGGCACAACCCAAGGGGGGGUGCCAACCCAGACAGGAAGAUCACGUCAGUGACUCAACCCAUCAAGUGACGCACCCCUCCUAGGGACGGCAUAGAAGAGCACCAGUAAGCCAGUGACUCAGCCCAUGUAAUAGGGUUAGAGGCAGAGAAUCCCAGUGGAGAGAGAGAAAUCGGCCAGGCAGAGACAGCAAGGGUGGAUUGUUGCUCCAGUGCCUUUCCGUUCACCUUCACACUCCUGGGCCAGACUACACUCAAUCAUAGGACCUACUGAAGAGAUGAGUCUUCAAUAAAGACUUAAAGGUUGAGACCGAGUCUGCGUCUCUCACAUGGGUAGGCAGACCAUUCCAUAAAAAUGGUGCUCUAUAGGAGAAAGCCCUGCCUCCAGCAGUUUGCUUAGAAAUUCUUGGGACAAUAAGGAGGCCUGGGUCUUGUGACCGUAGCGUAUGUGUAGUAUUGUACGGCAGGACCAAAUCAGAAAGAUAGGUAGGAGCAAGCCCUUCUAAUGCUUUGUAGGUUAGCAGUAAAACCUUGAAAUCAGCUUGUUCAAGCUGUCCUUGAAAAAGGCUUGACUAUUCCAAUUAUGUUGUGGCCAGAGCUUAAUAUUUCAAAAAGCAUGGCUAUUAAAGACUCACAGGCUGACUGGCAGUCUGUCAUUCCAAGGAAAUAGAAUCACAUCUUCUGUUUUUGAGUUCUGCCAUAAACUCCUAUUAAAUCUUUGGAUUACAAUUGAAUUUUAUGUUCAUAAACAAUAGUUGUAAUCUGUAGGAUAUUACAGACAUUAUUAUAUUGUAUUGCUUUUUGCACAUGUUCAUGCAAUAAUUUCUAACAUUAUAGUUCACUUCACUUUCUGAUAAAGAUCAUCAUCAUCAUGUAAUAAGUAAUGUUUUACAACAAUGUUUUACAUUACACAUCACACAAGUGCCUAAUAAAACGCAUUAUAAACCUACAA